CAGCCGUAAACUAUGCGCGUUAGGUGUAUCGGUGACCACGAGUUACCGAGGUGCCGAAGGGAAACCGUGAAACGUGCCGCCUGGGAAGUACGGUCGCAAGGCUGAAACUUAAAGGAAUUGGCGGGGGAGCACCACAACAGGUGGAGCCUGCGGUUUAAUUGGACUCAACGCCGGGAAGCUCACCGGAUAGGACAGCAGAAUGAUUGCCGGGCUGAAGACCCUGCAUGACUAGCUGAGAGGAGGGUGCAUGGCGUCAGUGACU
Molecule: ribosomal RNA, 262 nt
Filed under: uncultured archaeon
Lineage: Archaea
Description: partial 16S ribosomal RNA
Rfam family: Archaeal small subunit ribosomal RNA
Source: RNAcentral